Molecule: non-coding RNA, 73 nt
Organism: Labrenzia sp. C1B10
Lineage: Bacteria; Pseudomonadati; Pseudomonadota; Alphaproteobacteria; Hyphomicrobiales; Stappiaceae
Source: Rfam
UCCCCAGUAGCUCAGUUGGUAGAGCAAGCGACUGUUAAUCGCUGGGUCGCUGGUUCGAGUCCGGCCUGGGGAG